RNAcentral lists this long non-coding RNA (2817 nucleotides) under Salvia miltiorrhiza (redroot sage). Its description in RNAcentral is "long non-coding RNA (SMIL_LNC005800)". The record is from RNAcentral. Lineage: Eukaryota; Viridiplantae; Streptophyta; Magnoliopsida; Lamiales; Lamiaceae.
CUAACUCCUUCACUCCUCUUCCUACCAUCACUCACAUUCUCACUUCAAAUGGAAUACGGCAGGCUCGGACCACCCGAACCUACCAGCGGUGGCUCCUCAACUCGUAGCCUAACCCCGGACCCCACCCGCGCCCCCAGGAAAUCCAGACUCAAGCUCCUCCUCGUCCUCGCCGCCACGCUCAUAGCAGCGUCCGCCGUCGCCGCCGCCCUCGUCGUCGUCGUCGUCCGCAACAGAGUUGACGAUUCCGGCGGCGCCUCCGCGAUGCAUGCUCGCCGCCCCUCCAAGGCCGUCUCCCAAGCCUGCGGCAAGACUCGGUACCCGAAUCUCUGCGUCAACUCGCUUCUCGACUUCCCCGGCGCCGCCUCCGCCUCCGCCAAGGAUCUCGUGCACAUUUCCGUCAACAUGACCCUCCGCAAAUUCGGCCGCGCGCUCUACUCCGCUGCCGAGAUCAGCAACCUCAACAUGUAUCCUCACGUCAGNAUUUUUAUUAAGAUAGUAUUGAAACUUGAGAUAUCACAAGGCCCACUACAAGAAAACACGCGUUUAACGAUCGAAAUUAACGACCGAAAUUUUCGAUCGUUAAUUUUGCGGCCUUAACGACCGAUUUACGACCGUUUCACGACCGAUUUUAUUUUUAUUUUUAACGACCGAAAAUUCGAUCGCUAAUUAUUUUUUUAAUAUUUUAAUACUUUAUUUUUCUUAACGACCGAAUUUUCGGUUGUAAAAUUUAUUUUUUUAUAUUUUAAUUAUUUUUUUAAUUUUAACGACCGAAAAUUCGGUCGUUAAUAUAUUUUUUUUUAUUAUUUUUUUUAAAAAAAUAAAUUUUUUUUAACUAUCAAAUUAUUCGGUCGUUAAAAUUAAUAUUUUGAUUUUUUUAAUUUUUUUAAUUUUUUCAAUAUUUUUUAAAUAAAAAAAUAUUUUUUAAAUUAUUUUUUUUAAAGACCGAAUUUUUCGGUCGUUAAAAUUAUUUUUAUUUGUUUUUAAUUUUUUUAUUUAUUUUUUAUUAUUUUAAUUUUUUAUUUAUUUAUUUUAUUUAUUAACGACCGAAUAAUCGGUCGUUAAUUUAUUUUUCAAUUUAAAAUUUAAAUUCGUUUUAUUUUAUUAUUUUAUUUUUUGAUUAUAUAUAAAUAUAUAUAUAAAUAUUUAAUUAUUUUUUAUUAAUUUUCUAUUUAAUUAUUAUUUUCAAAUUAUAGAGAAUAUUUUGAAAAUGAUUGUUAUUUUCAUAAUAUUAUUCUAUAAAAAUAGAUAAUAUUGAUUAUUAAUAAAAAUGUGAUAUUAUUUGCAAAUAAUAAUAAAUUAUUAGACUUAUUAUAAUAAAUUAUUAGACUUAUUAGAUUUUCUAAAUUAUUAGAUUCAUUAUUUUCAAAAUAUUAAUAAUUUUAUAUUUAAAUAUAAAUAUUUUCAAUAUUAAUUUUAUUAAUAUUGAUUAUUUGAUUUAAUAUUGAUUUUGUUGUAUAUUUGAUUGUUAUUUUUCAUACUCGUAUUUUCUUUCUUUUUUUAAUUACGAUAAUAUUAAUUUUUUAUUAUUUUAAAUUCAAUCGUAUAUUUAUAGUCAAUGUUUCGCCGACACCACAAAUCUUAGUUAUUAUCUCGACAUAUUAUAAGGUUAUGAAUGAUUAAUGAUAUUUUAUAUUGAAUUAGAGUUUAAAUGAAUUAAUAGGUACUAUCUAUAUCAAUAAUACGAGUGUUCUCUAUUGGUGACUACUCGAAAGGAACUUCAAGGUUAAGCGUGCUUGACUUAGAGCACAAGUAAGAUGGGUGACCUACUGGGAAGUUCGUCAAAUGGUAUGCAAUUAAGUUCAAAAUACAUUAGAAAUACACUAAAAAUACUUGUGGGAUACAAAGAUAUAUAUAUAUAUAUAUAAAUUAUUUUUUUCGAAAAAAAAUAUUUUUUUUAAUUAAUUUUUAACGACCGAAUUUCGGUCGUUAAAAAAUAAAUUUCGGUCGUUAUUUAAAAAAAUAAAAAAAUAAUAAUUUUUUUAUUAUUUUUUCUCUUUUUAACGACCGAAAUUUCGGUCGUUAAAAAUAAAAAAUCGGUCGUUAAAUUUAACGACCGAAAAAACGGUCGUUAAAACUCGGACGACGAUGCAAACAACGACUGAAAAAAACGGUCGUUAAAUCGGUCGUUAACGACCGAUUUUUGGGUUUUAACGACCGAAAUUUCGGUCGUUAGAGCCGCAUUUUCUUGUAGUGUGGGUAUGGUUAUUAAUUAAAUAGUGUAUAAUCUAUACAUAUAUAAAAAACAGUCUAGUAGUAAAUUUUGUCUAAAACAAAAACAGUAUACUAUAUAGUAAACACUAAUCACUAUCUCUAUCAAUCACUACCAAUAUAGUGCUGCUAAGUAGAAUCCAGCUAAUUCCCUCGGACAGUUGGACAUCAUCCAUUCCCCACCCCCUCUCCUCUUUCUCACUCAUCAUAUAUACACGCUGCGGCAGGGUCCAUAUAUCUUUAACCACUAACUCCUUCACUCCUCUUCCUACCAUCACUCACAUUCUCACUUCAAAUGGAAUACGGCAGGCUCGGACCACCCGAACCUACCAGCGGUGGCUCCUCAACUCGUAGCCUAACCCCGGACCCCACCCGCGCCCCCAGGAAAUCCAGACUCAAGCUCCUCCUCGUCCUCGCCGCCACGCUCAUAGCAGCGUCCGCCGUCGCCGCCGCCCUCGUCGUCGUCGUCGUCCGCAACAGAGUUGACGAUUCCGGCGGCGCCUCCGCGAUGCAUGCUCGCCGCCCCUCCAAGGCCGUCUCCCAAGCCUGCGGCAAGACUCGGUACCCGAAUCUCUGCGUCAACUCGCUUCUCGACUUCCCCGGCGCCGC